Maniola jurtina (meadow brown) is the source of this 115-nucleotide long non-coding RNA. RefSeq lists it as uncharacterized. The transcript has 3 exons. NCBI's taxonomy places the organism in Eukaryota, Metazoa, Arthropoda, Insecta, Lepidoptera, Nymphalidae. The record is from RefSeq and is a predicted model, not a curated record.
AAUAAAUCUUUUAUUGUUUCACCAUAAAAUUACAACCAAGAAUUAGGUUAAACCACUGAUGCCUAAAAUAAGUUGUACACUCGUGUUAUAGGCAUCAGAAUUUUUAUAAUUUAAU